GGGGGGAGGCCGGAUCCUGGGCCCUGUCCCGGCGCCCUGUGCUCCGAGGCCUGUGCUGUUGGAUUCGCGCUCCCGCCCCGCAGCCCCCU
Molecule: microRNA precursor, 89 nt
Filed under: Canis lupus familiaris (dog)
Lineage: Eukaryota; Metazoa; Chordata; Mammalia; Carnivora; Canidae
Description: mir-8799 microRNA precursor family
Rfam family: mir-8799 microRNA precursor family
Source: Rfam by way of RNAcentral